UCGAAACACAGCAGAGCUCCUCACCCCCAACCAUGGAGUUUAGAGACUCAUGCCGUAGAAAAUACAAGUUCUAAGGUAAAAUGUUAUGAGGUACAAAAUGAAUCUCUAAAAGUGAUUUUUAUACUAAACUAGUGACCUAGGUUUACAGAAAAUGAGUAAGCUAAGAUAGAUUAUGCAGAAAUCCACUUCUGGGGCCCACUUGGUGUGUGUUUGGGCUGAGCAUUGAAACUUUCACGUGUAGAGGCUAUUCCUGGCGUUAAACUCCAGCUUUUGUGCCAGUUUGGGUAUUUAACUCCAACUUUUAUGCCAGUUCUGGCGUUUAACGCCAGAAAAGGGUAGAGAGUUGGCGUUUAGACGCCAGUUUGCGUUAUCAAAACUCGGGUAAAGUAUGGACUAUUAUAUAUUGCUAGAAAGUCCAAGAUGUCUACUUUCCAACACAAUUGAGAGCGCGCGAAUUGGGCUUCUGUAGAUCUAGAAAAUCUAUUUCGAGUGCAGGGAGGUCAGAAUCUAACAGCAUCUGCAGUCCUUUUUCAGCCUCUGAAUCAGAUUUUUGCUCAGGUCCCUCAAUUUCAGCCAGAAAAUAC
This 584-nucleotide long non-coding RNA is filed under the name Arachis ipaensis. Its description in RNAcentral is "long non-coding RNA (AIPA_LNC000168)". The record is from RNAcentral. Lineage: Eukaryota; Viridiplantae; Streptophyta; Magnoliopsida; Fabales; Fabaceae.